Molecule: ribosomal RNA, 459 nt
Filed under: Rivulus roloffi (Hispaniolan rivulus)
Lineage: Eukaryota; Metazoa; Chordata; Actinopteri; Cyprinodontiformes; Rivulidae
Description: partial 12S ribosomal RNA
Rfam family: Bacterial small subunit ribosomal RNA
Source: RNAcentral
GAAAAUUACAAGCCUAAGCUCAAAACUCAAAGGACUUGGCGGCGCUUUACACCCACCUAGAGGAGCCUGUCCUAUAACCGAUAACCCCCGUUAAACCUUACCUUCUUUCGCACUCAGUCUAUAUACCGCCGUCGUCAGCUUACCCUUUGAAGGGAAUAUAAGUAAGCAUAACCGGUUUAGCCCCAGACGUCAGGUCGAGGUGUAGCAUAUAAGAAGAGAAGAGAUGGGCUACAUUUCCUAACCAGGGUCCUACGAAUAAUAUUUUGAAAUAUAUAUAUUGAAGAAGGAUUUAGCAGUAAGUAAAAAAUAGAGAGUUUUACUGAAACCGGCCCUAAAGCGCGCACACACCGCCCGUCGCUCUCUCCUAGUUUCUUACACUAUUUUAUUUAAAACUUUUAUUAACAAAGGAGAGACAAGUCGUAACAUGGUAAGUGUACUGGAAAGUGCACUUGGUUAAAC